AAUGAACGCUGGCGGCGUGCCUAAUACAUGCAAGUCGAGCGAACGGACGAGAAGCUUGCUUUUCUGAUGUUAGCGGCGGACGGAUGAGUAACACGUGGAUAACCUACCUAUAAGACUUGGAUAACUUCGGGAAACCAGAUCUACUACCGGAUCAUAUUUUCUACCGCAUGGUUCAAAAGUGAAAGACGGUCUUGCUGUCACUUAUAGAUGGAUCCGCGCUGCAUUAGCUAGUUGGUAAGGUAACGGCUUACCAAGGCAACGAUGCAUAGCCGACCUGAGAGGGUGAUCAGCCACACUGGAACUGAGACACGGUCCAGACUCCUACGGGAGGCAGCAGUAGGGAAUCUUCCGCAAUGGGCGAAAGCCUGACGGAGCAACGCCGCGUGAGUGAUGAAGGUCUUCGGAUCGUAAAACUCUGUUAUUAGGGAAGAAAAGAUGUGUAUGUAACUGUGCACAUCUUGACGGUACCUAAUGAGAAAGCCACGGCUAACUACGUG
This 497-nucleotide ribosomal RNA is filed under the name uncultured bacterium. RNAcentral's name for it is "partial 16S ribosomal RNA". It matches the Rfam family "Bacterial small subunit ribosomal RNA", at positions 29 to 507 of the family's 1533-position model. The record is from RNAcentral.